ACAAUGGAGAGUUUGAUCCUGGCUCAGGAUGAACGCUAGCUACAGGCUUAACACAUGCAAGUCGAGGGGAAACGAUAGAGAAAGCUUGCUUUUUCUAGGCGUCGACCGGCGCACGGGUGAGUAACGCGUAUCCAACCUGCCCAUCACUUGGGGAUAACCUUGCGAAAGUAAGACUAAUACCCAAUGGUAUCUCUAGAAGACAUCUGAAGGAGAUUAAAGAUUUAUCGGUGAUGGAUGGGGAUGCGUCUGAUUAGCUUGUUGGCGGGGUAACGGCCCACCAAGGCGACGAUCAGUAGGGGUUCUGAGAGGAAGGUCCCCCACAUUGGAACUGAGACA
Molecule: ribosomal RNA, 336 nt
Filed under: Segatella copri
Lineage: Bacteria; Pseudomonadati; Bacteroidota; Bacteroidia; Bacteroidales; Prevotellaceae
Description: bacterial SSU rRNA
Rfam family: Bacterial small subunit ribosomal RNA
Source: RNAcentral